GAUGAACGCUGGCGGCGUGCCUAAUACAUGCAAGUCGAGCGAACAGACGAGGAGCUUGCUCCUCUGACGUUAGCGGCGGACGGGUGAGUAACACGUGGAUAACCUACCUAUAAGACUGGGAUAACUUCGGGAAACCGGAGCUAAUACCGGAUAAUAUAUUGAACCGCAUGGUUCAAUAGUGAAAGACGGUUUUGCUGUCACUUAUAGAUGGAUCCGCGCCGCAUUAGCUAGUUGGUAAGGUAACGGCUUACCAAGGCGACGAUGCGUAGCCGACCUGAGAGGAUGAUCGGCCACACUGGAACUGAGACACGGUCCAGACUCCUACGGGAGGCAGCAGUAGGGAAUCUUCCGCAAUGGGCGAAAGCCUGACGGAGCAACGCCGCGUGAGUGAUGAAGGUCUUCGGAUCGUAAAACUCUGUUAUUAGGAAAGAACAAAUGUGUAAGUAACUAUGCACGUCUUGACGGUACCUAAUCAGAAAGCCACGGCUAACUACGUG
RNAcentral lists this ribosomal RNA (497 nucleotides) under uncultured bacterium. RNAcentral describes it as "partial 16S ribosomal RNA". It matches the Rfam family "Bacterial small subunit ribosomal RNA", at positions 28 to 507 of the family's 1533-position model. The record is from RNAcentral.